UCGAACGGCAGCGAGGAGAAGCUUGCUUCUCUGUCGGCGAGUGGCGAACGGGUGAGUAUAGCAUCGGAACGUACCAAGUAGUGGGGGAUAACCAAACGAAAGUUUGGCUAAUACCGCGUAAGCUCCAAGGAGGAAAGUAGGGGACCUAAAUAAGGCCUUACGCUAUUUGAUCGGCCGAUGUCGGAUUAGCUAGUUGGUGGGGUAAUGGCUCACCAAGGCAAUGAUCCGUAGCGGGUCUGAGAGGACGAUCCGCCACACUGGGACUGAGACACGGCCCAGACUCCUACGGGAGGCAGCAGUGGGGAAUUUUGGACAAUGGGGGAAACCCUGAUCCAGCCAUGCCGCGUGUAUGAAGAAGGCCUUAGGGUUGUAAAGUACUUUUGUUAGGGAAGAAAAGCUAGUUUUUAAUAAAAAUUAGUGAUGACGGUACCUAAAGAAUAAGCACCGGCUAACUACGUGCCAGCAGCCGCGGUAAUACGUAGGGUGCAAGCGUUAAUCGGAAUUAUUGGGCGUAAAGCGAGUGCAGACGGUUACUUAAGCCAGAUGUGAAAUCCCCAAGCUUAACUUGGGACGUGCAUUUGGAACUGGGUGACUAGAGUGUGUCAGAGGGAGGUAGAAUUCCACAUGUAGCGGUGGAAUGCGUAGAGAUGUGGAGGAAUACCGAUGGCGAAGGCAGCCUCCUGGGAUAACACUGACGUUGAGGCUCGAAAGCGUGGGGAGCAAACAGGA
Molecule: ribosomal RNA, 729 nt
Filed under: uncultured Neisseriales bacterium
Lineage: Bacteria; Pseudomonadati; Pseudomonadota; Betaproteobacteria; Neisseriales
Description: bacterial SSU rRNA
Rfam family: Bacterial small subunit ribosomal RNA
Source: RNAcentral